Molecule: long non-coding RNA, 1449 nt
Organism: Humulus lupulus (European hop)
Lineage: Eukaryota; Viridiplantae; Streptophyta; Magnoliopsida; Rosales; Cannabaceae
Exons: 8
Source: RefSeq, a predicted model, not a curated record
UGUGCCGGGGAAUCCAGCAUCCUGUACGCGGGCGGGCUUUUCUUAAGGAGUUACCUCUCUCAAGUCAGCAGGGACAAAUUGCCUGGUAUAGGUUCUGAAUAUGAAGGUGAUGCAGACACCGUUGUGGAUGCUGUGGAGUUUGUACUUCAAAAUUUCACGGAGAUGAACAAACUUUGGGUGCGGAUGCAACAUCAGGUGUUGUAGUGCUUGUGAAUCAUUCAUACUCUUAGCUGAUCCUGAGUUGAGGGUUGCUAUCGGGCUUUCUGGUCUGCAGGGACCUGCCCGGGAAAAGGAGAAACGGGAGAAAGAGCGGAGCAAGCUACGUGAUCUUGUAUAGCUGGUUGGUUUUGCUGCAAUUGUACUGUACUCUCUACAUGUUGGGCGUCCACUUACAGAAUGUUAGAGAGGCCCAGACAAUAGGCCCAAUACAACUCAACUUGGAGGCAGCCCAGGAACAAAAGAAAAGGCAGCCCAGCUGCCUGGAAGAAAAGGGAGUGGCUCGGCAAGAGGUGCUGGAAGAAAAUAGUAAGCCGAACAGGGGAGAAGGAGCUGCACUCGACCGAGUAGAGGCAGGGACGGCUCGGAGCAGGCGUGGACGAGUGAGACCCGGUUGGCUGAGGGACUACGUGCUGAAGCUGGGUCACUGAGAGUUGGGAAGAACUUGCAUGCCCUCAGCCAGAUAGAGGGAAUUGAUCUCGAGAUGUACAAAGAAUCUGUUCUUCCUAGAGUCCUUGAGUUGAGCAGGUUGUCAAUUGUAAAGAUGAGAUUGCACAAUUCUAUCUGAUGGAUUGCAUAAUUCAAGUAUUCCCUGAUGAGUAUCACUUACAAACUCUUGAUGUAUUGUUGGGUGCCUGCCCCCAGCUUAUCAGCCAUCUCUUGAUAUCAAGACAGUGCUAUCCCAGUUGACGGAAAGGCUUUCAAAUUAUGCUGCUUCAAGUUCAGAAGUGUUGCCUGAGUUCUUGCAAGUAGAAGCUUUUUCCAAAUUGAGCAAUGCCAUUGGGAAGGGAAGAUUGAUGAAGAUGAUUUCAAUGAGGAGCAAAAUUCUGUUGCUCGACUUAUUCAGAUGCUCACUAAUGAUGAUCCAGAAGAGAUGUUCAAGUGAAUUCUGGAAUCCACUGGAGAAGAAACAUAAAAAAUGUGAUGGGAGACAUCAGCGCAUUAAUGGGAUUACCAACUCCAAAUGAAUAUUUUAAUAAAUCGUAACUGCCCAUACGAAAACAAAGCCUAACCUACUAUAACACUGAUUUCCUUAACACAUCAAAAAGUGUUAUGGUAUAUAUUUGAUAAUACUUUUUCAGUCUUAUUGAAAGUAUUUUUUUCUUGUAGUGAGUUAACGGAAAAAAAUGAAACAUCGUUAAAACAAAAAAGUUCCGUUAUCUACACAUUUUUUGACAUGUUGACAUGUUGUUUUGUUCAUUUUUGUAUUCUGUUAAAUUCAAUUUUGAAUCU